Molecule: long non-coding RNA, 5366 nt
Filed under: Homo sapiens (human)
Lineage: Eukaryota; Metazoa; Chordata; Mammalia; Primates; Hominidae
Description: non-protein coding LINC02062:21
Source: RNAcentral
CUUACCGGCGGGCUUGGCGGGGCGGAGGGAGCCGACUCGGGUGGACGGCCUCCCCCGCGCCCAGGCCCGGGAUCUCCGCCGCCCAGUCCUAGGGCUCCGGCGUCUCGGGGUAAGCAAGAGUCCGUGCGGGGGAGGGGGAAGGGGACAGACGCGGAGGGGAAGGGGAAGCCCCGGUCCGCAGCACCAACGCGCGAUCCCCUGCGGAGUGGAGCUAACAAUUCAUUAUUGAAGCACCAAGGGCGAGGGCAGCAAGAGCUAUAAGUAACCAGUCGUCGCCGCCGCCGCCGCCGCCGUCGCGCGCGCGCUCCCGCUCCCUCCGCUUAUCUGCCCCCGGCAGCCGCCAUGACGCCGAGAAAGCAAGCGAGCGCAACCGUCUCCGUCGUAGCCGCCGCCGCCACCGAGGUCGCCGUCGCCUCCGCCUCCCGCGCGACGUAAGCGCCUCUGCUCACUCCCCUUCCCGACAGAGCGCGAGGCGGGCGGGCGCGCGCACGCCGAAGCCUUUCUGCUCGCGCGCGGGAGGCGGGAGGGACUACGUUGAAGGGUCGUGGGCGUAGGAAAAAAGCGAUUGGUGCUGGGGCGGGGCGGGGGGGGCGAGUGCGCGCACGCGCACGAAUGGGAGUGCGCACGGCGGAUGCGCAGAGGCUGUCGGACUCUGACUGCGCGGAGACCGCUGGACUCUGGUCGCGGCCUUAGUCCGCUGAUCCUCGCUUGGGUGCCCGCCCUUAGCGGCCCGGCGUUGAAUUCCGGGAAGUGGGAGCUUCAGGCUCGCUCCGUGCGGGUAUGGGCGCUAAUGUCACUUGGGAUGGUUGCGCAAGGACAUCGCGGCGGACACUGACAAGGAACCGGGGAGGAACGGGGGUGGGGAGAGACUGCGAUGGGACUCGGGAAGCCGGGAAGGGCCGCGCUGAAUAAGCCUAAGGGGCCGGGUCGCAAGGAGUGUCGGGUAGCACAGGCCUCGGCUCAGUCGGAGCGCCAGGCCUCAGGGUCCGGGCGGGGGCUGCUGCGUCACACCAGGCAGCCUGGGAACGCAACUGUUGGGCAACCGUGGUGGCCUCUCGCCACCUCUUACGCUUGGGCGAUCUGCGAUUGACGCAUCCUGGGAGCUGAUGUCCCGCACGGGCGGGGCGCCGGAGGAGGAGAGAAAAUAGAGACCCGGUUGUUGACAGCCUGUGAUGCCGCUUGAUUCAUGUAGGCGGGGUUUUGUCAUGUUGCUAGGUUGGUGUUGAACUCCUGAGCUCGAGCGAUCCACCUGCCACUGCCUUCCAAAGUGCUGGAAUUACAGGCGUGAGCCACGGCGCCCGGUGGCCGAGGUUAAUAAUAAUUAAAAGUUUCUAAUCCCAUUGUUCAGUUAUUUGAUUUGGUGUAAAGGCGCACUUUCCAAGUCAGAUGAGUUUGUGGUAACAUACAUUCCCCAAAUAAUUAUUUUUCCCUUGUGGGAAAUAUUCCAGUUUUAGGCUACCAGCUGUUUAAACAGUUUGGUUCAAAUCCUUCAAAAAAAUCUCAAAACAUAACUCCACAUAUGUAUUUACUACAUAUUGAAGGGUGUAUUCACUUGGAGAAGUAGGAGAAAGCAAACAGAUGCCAAUGGCCUUUUUGAAAACAUGUAUCUAUCAGCAAUAAUUGAAUAGCAAAACGAAGUGGAACACUACCAUCCUUUGCAAUAUUAGAUAGUUUUAAUACUGGGUUGUGAGGAAUGAAAAGAUCAUACAAAUCGUCAUUUCUGAAGUCAUUUCUGAAGUCGUCAUUUCUGAACUGAGUGCUAAUUUUUCAUAUUAAGCUUUAUGUUAAUAUCCUUAAUGAGAGGAACUUCCUGUGCCCGUAAUUUCUCCAGAGAAACUAUUAACAUACACAGAAUGUUGUAAUCAGAAGUAUAGUUCAGUUAAUAAAGUCCUCAAUUACAACUCUGACAUUUUGUCAUUGUCUUAUGAAAAGAAUUACUGUAUAUACAGUCUAUUUUACGUUUUCCGGAAGCACGUCAGGCAGGUUUUUUGUUUUUUUACUACUAAUUGUGCCAUUGAAUAUGCUAUUCUGUCGUAUUGUGCCAUCAAACAUGCUAUUCGAAAAAAGAUCUUGCCCAAUUUGUAAUAAAAUAUUGAACAUUGGAGAUUUAGAUUUCGAGUAAAAUCAUACUUUAUUGCUUUGCAGAAGUACACAGUAGGUGGAAAAUUGCAACAAUCUUGCCAGUUCAUUUUUUAAAAAGCGUGUAGGUAAUCCAAAGAUACCUUUUUGAUGAUUUGUUAUCAACAUAGUUAAAUUUGCAGUGUCACUUUAUUUGAAUAAACUAGCUUUAUCUCUACUUAGUGGUACUAAAACAAUAGCCAAACAGUUGAUAAUCUCAACACAUGACUAACGAAAAAUUCCACAUAAUUAACAUUAACCAGGAGGUUUUUGUUACUAUUUAAUUUCUCAUUUUUAAAAUUUCAUAUUCUUUGGAAAGAAUAUUACUUUUCCGGAAUCUAAGACAGCAUUUUGUGGGUCCUUAAUUGUGAUAUGCUUUACUAGGUAAAGUACUAAAUGGGUAUCCUUAGGUGGGGAUAGGCUGGGAACCACAUAUCCAGAAUUGUGAAAUAUAUAACAUAAACAGGAUAACUUGCUCCUUUGUUAGCUUUUUGGAUGCCAGGGUUAAGAUUUUAAUUCCAUAAUUAUGUCCUUGUUGCCUGGAGGAUUUGCAUAUGAGAAACCACAAAAACAAUCGGGACAUUAUUAAAAUACCCUAGAAUCUCAACCUGUGACAGUAUUUCCCAUGUCCUUGCAAAACCAGAGGAAGUCUUUCCAAUAUGAUUCUUAAAUUUACAAAGUCCUCUGAAUAGAAACCAUGAAAUCCUAAGUCAUCUUCUAGUGAAGAUUUGCUGUACAUUUUCUGUUUUCCUAAUAAGAAAUUAGAGGAGUUUAGUUCCCAGUGUUGGGCAAGGGAUAGGACUCAGUCACCUGGAAAGUUCUUUUGUAACUACACGUGCCUGACACUCCUAUUCUUCCCCUCUGCUGAUAUGCAGAAUUUCUAGGUUCUAGGUAGUAUUUGGGAAGUUUCCCAGAUUAUUCUGAUAUCUACCAGCGGCUCAUCCACCUUCUUUAUGGUCACUGUAUUUGGGGAUUUUGAAUGAUAAAUUCUUGAAUCACUAAAAGCUAAAUUUCAAACAGAAAAUUGUUAGAGAUGAUACUAAGAGGCAAGUAUGUAUAAAAUCUAAUAGGCAUUGAAGAAGAUACAAAGAUUCCAUCCUCUACUGAAAAAUUAAGUGUGCACGCAGAGUAAGAAAGAAGGUUAAGUAGCCAACCUCAAAAAUAUUUAAAAAUUAUUGCAUUGAUGCUGUAUCACUCAUUUCCUUGCCCAGAUUCUUUUUUUUUUUUUUUUUUUUUGAGACAGAGUCUCACUUUGUCACCCAGGCUGGAGUGCAGUGGUGCUAUCUCAUUUCACUGCAAUCUCCGCUUUCUGGGUUCAAGUGAUUCUCAUGCCUCAGCCUUCCAAGUAGCUGGGACUACAGGCACGCGCCACCACACCCAGCUAAUUUUGUGUACUUUUAGUAGAGACUGGGUUUCACCAUGUUGGCAAGGCUGGUGUCAAACUCCUGACCUCAGGUGAUCUGCCUGCUUCAGCCUCCCAAAGUGCUGGGAUUACAGGUGUGAGCCACCAUGCCCAGCCCUUGCCCAGAUUCUUUAUUCACUGCUGUCCAAAUACUGUUGGUCCUCUGUACCUGCAGGGAUUUGCAGGUACAGAGGCUCAACUAUAAGGGACUUGAGCAUCCCCAGGUUUUGGUAAAUGGGGGUCCUGGAACUAAUUCUCUGCAGAUACUGAGGGACAAACGGUACCACUCAUUUUAAUGCAGAAAUUUUGUAUUCAUCCUUUCUUUUUAACUCCCACUACCGGGCUUAGUUUAGGCCUCUAUUUUCUCUAUCUUUCCCUUCAGCUUAUCCUUUAGGUUUCCUUCAAACUUGAAAUCUAACUAAAUCAGUCCCCUGUUAUAUACCACAUAUAUUUGUAAACUAAACAUAUAUGAAGAUGUAUGUACAUAUCAUAUAUUCCUAGUAUUUUAGUUACUUAAUUUUUUCACAGACUAAUCUCAGUAUUGCCUCUCAUCAUUCCUAAUGGACACUUGGUACUCUAGACACUUCUUCAGGUCACUGGAAAGGUAUCUCUCAUUGUAAGUGGAUAUAACCCAUUUAUCUUAUGGGUCAGUCUUUCAUAAGUUCGUUUAAGUAAAUGCUCAAGAACUGUUGAGUACCUUGACACAAUUGUGCUGACAACCUAUAAGACUUGUCAGAAAACUCUCUGACCUCCCUUUUAGGACAUGGAAUUGAGUAUUCUGUAAGUGCGGCAUGUCAUUGUAUCACAAUAUAGCAUUUGUUUCCAUACUACAUUGUGAGGUCCUUGAGCAAAGAGUACUGUGCCCCAGUGCAUUGUAUUGAUAUUCAUUCAAUACAAAUGUAAGAAUGUAUUACAUACCAGACAUUCUGCUGAGGGUAGGGAGGGAUUAUAAUACAGCAAAAACUAACACUUUCAAAGUUAAAGCCUAGUUCAGGACACAGUCACACUAUAAAAUGACAACUUAGAAAAAUAGUAUGAAGAGACAUACGGUGCUGUGAGAAUCCAUAAUAAAGAACCCUAGUCAGAAAAGUCUCAAGGAAGUGACGUGAUCGUUGUGGUCUAGAGCUGAAGAAUUAAUAUGAAUUAGGUAGGCAAGAAAGGGAAGUACAAGAGCUGCUUUCUGGGUAAAAGAAACAACAUGGGCAAAGAUUCUGGGGUCAGAGAGAUCACGUCAGUGCACUUGCCAGUUUGCCAAGAACAGGCCGUAUUCACUUUCAGAAGUGUUCAGGUUUGGAUAGUAAAUUGCAGGGCCAUCCUAUCUAUAAGGGACUCUAAGAAGCAUGGUUCUGCUGGAGCAAACAGCAGCUGGACAAGAUGAGGCUACAUAGACACUAGGCCCAAAGGCUAAGUGAAGUAUGUUUUUCAAGACAAUGAGGAAGCUAUUGAAGGAUUUGAAACUGGGUGGUAGCUUGAUGGGACUGGCAAAUUGAAAGUUUUUACUUUAGGUAUAAAUCCCAAAGAAGGAUUAGAUGUGGGUUGAAGUAGAUACAGUAUUCCUAAUUAAGUCAGGAGUCUUUGGCAGAUAAGAGAGGUUAGAAAUGACAUGAUAGACUAGGAUAGUGUAAUGGAGGUGGAGAGAAGUAGAAUUGGGAAGGGUAACAAAACUUGAUGGGAUUGGAUUCAGGCAGGGUUAGGAGGAGGAGGGAUGUUAGUCAUUUGCAGCUGAAUGACAUUCACUUAUAUAGUAAUGUAUUUGGAGAUGUAUAGAUAGGGAGAUCAUUACGUUUGGUUUAAGACAGAAUUGGGCCGGGUGUGAUGGCUCAUCCCAGCACUUUGGGAGGCCAAA